GAUGAAGAACGUAGCAAAAUGCGAUAAGUAAUGUGAAUUGCAGAAUUCAGUGAAUCAUCGAAUCUUUGAACGCACAUUGCGCCCGCUGGUAUUCCGGCGGGCAUGCCUGUUCGAGCGUCAUUUCAACCCUCAGGCCCCCAGUGCCUGGUGUUGGGGAUCGGCCCAGCCUUCCUGUAAGGCCGCCGGCCCCGAAAUCUAGUGGCGGUCUCGCUGUAGUCCUCCUCUGCGUAGUAGCACAACCUCGCAGUUGGAACGCGGCGGUGGCCAUGCCGUUAAACACCCCACUUCUGAAAGUUGACCUCGGAUCAGGUAGGAAUACCCGCUGAACUUAAGCAUAUCAAUAAGCGGAGGA
Molecule: unclassified non-coding RNA, 352 nt
Filed under: soil metagenome
Description: partial contains 5.8S ribosomal RNA, internal transcribed spacer 2, and large subunit ribosomal RNA
Rfam family: 5.8S ribosomal RNA (bases 1-120)
Source: RNAcentral